UUCAUAAAUGCCAAUGAUGAUUUCCUUGAUAGGUUUGGAACCUGAGGAGAGGUGAGUGGAUGUUGUUGUGCCAGUUGCUGUCUCAUUUGUCCAGCAUUUAUCCGUUGCUGAGCAUAACUUAGAGCACCAUUAGGCCUUAGUUGUGAGCUCAAAUUGAGUGACCCCAUCAUUCCCAUUGCUUGCAUUCCCUGCAAAGGCUGCCCCGGAGAAUUACCAGGAUGGAAUUGAGACCC
RNAcentral lists this unclassified non-coding RNA (233 nucleotides) under Hevea brasiliensis (rubber tree). Lineage: Eukaryota; Viridiplantae; Streptophyta; Magnoliopsida; Malpighiales; Euphorbiaceae. The record is from RNAcentral.